AAAACAGUGAUUAUAAAAGCUACGAUUUAUAAAUUUCUUAAGAGAGCCGAUGGUUGGUGUGAAUCGGUGAAAGGUUAAAUCUUUCCACUUUUGGAGCUGUCGGUGAUGAAUCGAAAGGUUUGUACUCUUUAUUGUACUAUUGUCGAGUGGCUAGUUGAUUUAUAGACUAGCAAGUUGGGUGGCAACGCGGAUAUCUCCGUCCCAAUA
This 207-nucleotide non-coding RNA is filed under the name Clostridium intestinale. RNAcentral describes it as "T-box sequence". It matches the Rfam family "T-box leader". Rfam says of the family: Uncharged tRNA acts as the effector for transcription antitermination of genes in the T-box leader family. T-boxes are found upstream of many aminoacyl-tRNA synthetase genes and some amino acid biosynthetic genes usually in Gram-positive bacteria. Lineage: Bacteria; Bacillati; Bacillota; Clostridia; Eubacteriales; Clostridiaceae. The record is from RNAcentral.